This 666-nucleotide unclassified non-coding RNA is filed under the name Nostoc sp. NDUPC003. RNAcentral's name for it is "partial 16S-23S ribosomal RNA intergenic spacer". The stretch from base 414 to 486 matches the Rfam family "tRNA". Lineage: Bacteria; Bacillati; Cyanobacteriota; Cyanophyceae; Nostocales; Nostocaceae. The record is from RNAcentral.
UUUGUAACACACACCCGCCGUCACAACCAUGAAGGCUCACCUAAGUCAUUACUCCACAUCGUGGGGGAGGAUGCCUAAGCAGUGCUGGUGACUGGGGUGAAGUCGUAACAAGGUAGCCGUACCGGAAAGGUGUGGCUGGAUCACCUCCUUUUAAAGGGAGACCUACCCAACUCUGAUAUCGAUUGCAGAGAGUAAAUAGAUACAGAGAAGGUUAUUCCGAGGUCGUUCGCAGAACUUGAUGGGGCUUUCAAACUAUAUUUGGUUCUUAUGGGCUAUUAGCUCAGGUGGUUAGAGCGCACCCCUGAUAAGGGUGAGGUCCCUGGUUCGAGUCCAGGAUGGCCCACCUGAAAGAAUUAAAAAUGAAAGAUUAAAAAUUAAACAAAUUAUUUUUAAUUCUCAGUUUUUAAUUUUCUGGGGGUUUAGCUCAGUUGGUAGAGCGCCUGCUUUGCAAGCAGGAUGUCAGCGGUUCGAGUCCGCUAACCUCCACCUGUAGCGUCAGCUAACGACAUAAAGGAUAAAAUUCAGCAACGUGACAGAUGAAACAGAAGUCAGACUGCUGGGUUUUUAUCUCAGCCAGAACCUUGAAAACUGCAUAGUAACGCGAAAUUAGCAGGCAGACACAGACAUUGAAAUGUUGGUCCAUGUGAAUAGUUCGGUACUAGCAGC